RNAcentral lists this long non-coding RNA (5012 nucleotides) under Sarcophilus harrisii (Tasmanian devil). RNAcentral's name for it is "lncRNA (ENSSHAG00000032260.1)". The record is from RNAcentral. Lineage: Eukaryota; Metazoa; Chordata; Mammalia; Dasyuromorphia; Dasyuridae.
UUGAAAGCCAGCAAUCUGGAAACCUGCAGAUAUGUCCUUCAACUGAAUGUUGACCCAUGUUUUAUGUAUUUAAAAAUAAUACCAGUCUCGGGUAUUGAAAAGUGUUUGUUUUGAUGGAAGACAGGGAAUACAACAGGAAGAGGCUAGUAGUAUUAAUUUUCAGUAUAGGUAAUAAACUAAUUAUCCUAAUUAUUAGCAAAAAUCGAAGCAAUUUAUUUCAUUUCCAUUUGACGACUUCAAAAUGAAAAAAAAAUAACGAAUAUAUAUAUAUAUAUCUCAUUCUGGAGACAUUCCAACAAUCUUAUUUCAGUUUGAUAAAUAAGGAUGGAAAAGGAGAUAAAGUGUAUGUUAGUUCCUAAAAGAAUCAGUGUGAAUGUCAACAUUAUAAUUGAAUCACUUAUUGACAAAUUUCAUUGUUUACCACUGCAGUGUGAACACAAGCUAAAGUGGAAAUUCCCACCUGAGGUGUCAGCAUCAUCAUCAUCAUCAUGGAAAACUAUCUGGAGUAUAAUUCUUGCUAAAGUGAACAGCAUAUAAGCAAGAAGCUCUCAGGGUCAGAAACAGAAGCACACUAGAAGCUCCUGGAGGAGGAGACAGAUUGUGUUGGCUGGAGGCUGAAGCUGAGAGAGGCCAAGGACUAGCGUCAGGAGCUCUCAGAACCAAGAAGAGAGAUAGGCCUCUAAGAAAGCUAACCAGGCUCAAGGAAGGAGACAAAACCUUGACGGAGACAAUAAAAGAUUUGGACUUUAAUACCUGGCUGCAUUCAGGGUGAUUACACUGAACUGAACAAAGUCUGCUCCCAGAAGCCCCCUAAGAAAUCUGCUCCCAGAGAAGAUUAAAUUUUAGAGGAGAAUAUUACAUUUAACAAACCAAAAAACGUGCUUCCAUCCACUUUCAGUUUCCAUAGUUCUCUCUCUGGAUGCUCAUGGUAUUUUCCAUCCCAAGUGUACUGGCAUUGCCUUGAAUUGUAUUGUUGAGAAGAGCCACGUCCAUCACAGUUGAUCAUCACAUAAUCUUGCUGUUACUGGGUACAGUGUUCUCCUGGUUCUGAUCACUUCACUCAAAAUUAGUUCAUGUAAGUUUUUUCAGAAAGCAUUUGAUCUUAAAGCAGCUUUAUUAUAAGACCCUUCUCUUUGCCAGCACACAAGCCUAUUUCUUCUAGGAGCUUGUCCUGUAGAUCUCAAACUACUCUCCCUGUGGUUCUUUCAUAACAUUCUAUCUCCUUUCUCUGUGCUUUUGUACAGCUUGUAUACAUGACUUUAAUAUACUCUUCUGCCCCCCUGUCACUAGUAUAUCUUCCCAGAGCUCUUCCUGUUUGUAGGGAACAGAAAGAUUCUUCUAUCUUGCUGGUCUCCUUACCUGGUCUCUUUCUGACUCCAAGGGACAGAGAAAAAUGCUAUUUGAUCUUGUAAUGCCAAAAUUCACUUUUAAUGGGGUGACCAGCUCCUCCAAUUGUCCUAUUUCGUAUUCUGCCUUAAGGUUAUGACCAUCCCCACUUAAUGGUUGAGAUAAAGGUAUUAUAGACAUUCCUUAAUGUCAUUAGAAUAUCAGUAACCUCCUUCUAUUAGGUUAUCCCCCCCUAGGUCCCUCCAUUGUUGUUAUUCCAUAAAAGGCUCCCUACCCAGAGACUCGGGGCUAGACUCUUUGAAAUGAUAGUCCAGUCUAGCCCUGGGAUCAACAUGGAUGCAUUGGUCCCAGUAUUUCUCUCCAUUUAAUAAACUAUUGAACUGGUCUCUAAUCUCUGUCUUGCUCAGUUUCUUUGGCAUUACAUUUGGAGGCCCCAGUGAGAUAAUUAGAAAAUGAGCAGGAUUAGAGAUGAGACUCUCGGGUCUCUUCCGUGGGCAGGGUGGCUGCGAAUCUGAAUUCUUGGCCUGGAGAGGUCGGGCCCCACUGGAUUUUUUCCAGAGCCUCCAGGAAAGAGAGCAAUUUCCAGCCACAAUAGCCUGAUGGUAGACAACCCCAUUUCGGCCACAGGAGAGUAAGUUUGUCUGGGUACCUUUUGGGGUACCAUCUGGUUAUGUCUUAAGACUUGUUUUGUUUGUUUGGUUUGAUUGAUUGGUGAAUAACCGGACAAGGUUGUCACUUGGGGUGCCCUUUUUAGGGGUGCCAUUUGCUUGGUUAAUGAGUGGCCUACUGGACGCAGGGGUCGCUACUGAAGUGUGAUCUAGGCACUCUGCCGCCUCAAGACUUUUUCUGGAGCAGAUGCUUUGCUUGAGGAAACUCUGUCCAACUCUUUUCCAGAGACAAAGGCCGGUCCUUUGCAUUUCUAAGAGAGGUCCUCCCACUUCUUCCAUCAAGUGGGAAGUAUAUACAUUUGAAAAUGGGACUCAGUUUCACUGCUUGGGUCAUCCUGUGUUAGAGUAAUGCUAGCCCCUCCCACGUUUGCAUGGUCAGGGGGCUAUCUACAAAGACUGGGGGUUUUAAAAAAUGCCAUUUGGUUUGGCUUUAAUGUUAAUGUCCUACUGAAUGUUGUAAUUGUGCAGUCUAAAUGUGACCAGUGUUCUGUAUGUCUUGUAUGUUAUUAGACAGUCUAGUUGUGCUCUGUGUUGUAAGUGAUUUUUGUGAAAUUGUUUGUAAUUUGUCUGUUUCGGUAACUUAAGAGCUCUGUUAAAUUUAAGAACAAUGAUCAAAUUUGGGAAUUGGUUAUUUCAAUACUGAACUCCAGCUGGUGAAAACAUUUGAUUAGGAAUUUAAAGAUGAUUCUAAAUUUGGGAAAUGAAUUGGUUAUCCUUAAGUAUAAGAUCUUAAAGGAACAAUAGCUUGUUAAAGAAGUUCUGUUAACUUGCCAGAAAGAGGUCAUGUGCCUCUAAUUUUACCUAAAGUAUGUAACAAGGACUUUUCUGAAAACUUCAUCCCUGGCCAAGCUGGGCUUAGGAGAAGUCCAUUGGGAAUAAUGGCCACAUGGGGCCAGAAGGAGAGAAAGAAACUAUGUUGUUUUAUUAUUUGAAAUGAUUUAGAAAUGGAUUAUACGCUUUAAAUCCAGCUGUGCUGGACAUGUAGGUUUUAUGGGAUUCCACCACCCACCCACUGAUUUCUGCUACUUUAAAUGUUGGGUGGGGUAGGGAUCUUUUGUAAAGAUUUAAACUCGCCUCCUCCCCGCCCUGCUAUAGGAGCCAUUUAGUUAGCCUGGAGUGAAGUUAAAUUCGACUUUGCUCCCCACCCUUCCAAUCUGGUCAUCGGUAAUCACUAUAUCCUAAAUACUUGAGCAAAUAAGUAUUCGGUCUUGUCAUCUAUUGGUUACUAGAUAUUGUGCCUGGAUAUCCAAGUAUUUUUUUAAGGUUUUUAAUUAAUGAGAGGCCACAUCUUAUAGCAGUCCUAUCUCAGACUGUUCUAACUUUUCUUUGUUAGAUUUGUUUUUAUUUCUAGAUUUGGUCAAAUUGCAGAUAUAUUGAUUUGCUUCUGGGACCUAGAUCAAACCUUUGUUUGUCAGCUCGCUACACUACAGACCCAUCCCCCUCACAGACUGAGCAUCGUCCCUGUUCAGCUUAAAGAAGCAAAUGACAGCCAUCGCCCACUUUUCCUGAUGUAAUUCGGACUGAUGGGGGGAGUGGGAAAGUGGUUGACUUGUUAAAAUUUUCACUGUAUUACUGUGCUGUGUUUAAGACUUGGAAUGGAAAUUGUUAAACUUGUGUAACUAUUGCUGUUAUGUUUGAGGGACUUUUAGUCUGUUAUGUAUAUGCAUAUGUGUAUGAUUUAUAUGUGGGAUGGUCAUUUGAUAAUUCCUUUCCAAAAGAAAAAAAAGGGAGGAGAAGAAAUAGGAAAUUGGGAAAACUGGUAUCUUGCUAGUUCAGAUUUAAUUGGAAGUCCUUUACUCCUUGCUUAAAUUUACUAGACUACGAUUUGCUGGUUGUGCUUUAACUUGGAAAUCCCUUAUUCUGUUGGAAUUGCCCUGGCAGACUCAGUUUUAGGGGAUUAUUUUUUAGAAACAACCAGAAAUUGGAUACCUGUCUUGGAACUGGCAGUCUCUCUGAGCUGUCCACUCCUGUUACCUCAGAUCCUUAAUUAGUAUUUCAGCGUACUUAAAAGGACUUUGUUGAUAUUGAGGCCUCUAAAAGCUUGGGGUUUGCCUGCCUUGGUCUAACUGUGCAUAAUCUGCAUUCUAGUGGCAGCCCUGUUUGUUCCUCUGGGUGGGACAGGUGGGGCUACUCCAAGCCUCACCCUUCUCUCCUGGAGCCGGCUGCCCCUCUGAAUGGGCAACACAACUGCCUUGAGCCUGCUGCUCUCCAUAAGCAGAGGCCGAGUCAUGCACAAAUGACCACAGCUGUCCAUAUGCUCCCCAACUGCAGAGGAUCUGACAAUUGAUUGUCAGAAAUAAUUGAAAUAAGGAACUUUGUGUAUUGCUGAUUAAUUCUGGGGUUAUCAGGGAGAGACUUGACCUUGCCAUAAGUCCUUGCAUUGGUCUAGCUUUAUUUUGAUAGUGCUAAGACCUUAGAGGAAGGUAAUUCAAAGAUUAGAAUAGUUCCAAGAGAAAAAGGAGGGACUGUACUGCCAAAGUUCACUUUUAAUGGGUUGACCACUUCCUCCAAUUGUCCUAUUUCAUAAUUCUGCCUUAAGGUUAUGACCGUCCCCACUUAAUGGUUGAGAUAAAGCUGUCAUAGACAUUCCUUAAUGUCAUUAGAAUAUCAGUAACCUCCUUCUAUUAGGUUAUCCCCACCUAGGUCCUUCCAUUGUUGUUAUUCCAUAAAAGGCUCCCUGCCCAGAGACUCGGGGCUAGACUCUUUGAGAUGAUAGUCUCGUCUAGCCCUGGGAUCAACAUGGAUGCAUUGGUCCCAGUAUUUCUCUCCAUUUAAUAAACUAUUGAAUUGGUCUCUAAUCUCUGUCUUGCUCAGUUUCUUUGGCAUUACAAGCUCAGCCAGUCUUUUGGGUUUAUCUGCUUCUGGGGAAAGAUGAAAAAAAAUGCCACUUCGUUGACUUCCUACCACCAGUCCCCUUAUCUGAACUGUGUGGGGUUCUGUGAGAGAAAACUCUGUGGGAGUCCAGUGAGGACUGGACUAUAAGGCUAAGCCCUGGUG